This 1950-nucleotide ribosomal RNA is filed under the name Triticum aestivum (bread wheat). RNAcentral's name for it is "partial small subunit ribosomal RNA". The record is from RNAcentral. Lineage: Eukaryota; Viridiplantae; Streptophyta; Magnoliopsida; Poales; Poaceae.
AUGGAGCCAGCCGCCGUCACCGCCUCCGCCUCCGCGGACGGGGGCGCCUUCCUCGAGUUCAUCGACUACGCCAUCUCCGUCGUCACCUCGUCCGGGGGCGACGGCAGCGAGUCCCCCGGCGCGGGGCCGGCGCCGGCGCGGCCUCCGUGGGGGUGGACGGUGGCGCAGGUGCUCAAGUCCUGCCGCGCCUACUCCAGCGGCGUCACAGCCGUCAUCCUCCUCUCCGACCUCUUCCAGUCAUGGACAGAGCAGCGUAAAUCUCUUACCGCAAAGACGAAGGUUGAGGUGACUAGCCUUCUAAACACGAGGAGUAAGAGAAGGAGGCUUCCCAGGACUGUCACAAUCGAUUCCAUCCAUGAGAAGAACUUCCUUUCUCCCAAGAGCGUCCUUGAGGCAGUCGUCAUCGAUGUUUUCGUUCUUCCUGGUACAAAUAUAUACAUGCUUACCUUGGGAGACAUGUGGAGUACAUCCACUAUUGAUCUGUAUCUACACCGAAGGUACUACAACUAUAUAGGACAACAUUGUAUCUUGAAGAAGGGUCGAGAAGUUGUGCUCACAGGAUGUUGUCUUCGCACAGCUGUUGUUGAGGGAUCUUGCCAUGCUCGUAUUUUGCCAACAGAAUACAUGGUGAUAUUACUUGAUGAGGAGCAAGAUGAAGAUGCCAUGCUACUUGCUGCACAGUUUUGCACAUAUUCUUUCUCCUCCAUGAUGGAAGAGAAAAGUAGAAAUGAUGUUGUAUACUCAUUUUAUGCCAGGAUUGAGAAGAUUGAGACCUUGGAACCUUUUGGAUGUACAGAAAGAAAGCAGAUUGUGCUUGUAGAUAAUGAUGAUGAGAAGAUCAAAUUUAUUUUAUGGGGAGAGCAGGUUUCACUUGCAAAUCUUUUCAGUGUAGGGAGCAUGCUUGCACUGGACAGUCCUUAUAUUUCCAAUUUUGCGCACAAUAAUCAUGAGGAGCCUCAGGAAUUGUGCCUUGAGUAUGGUAGUGCAACACAGGUUUACUUGGUGCCAAUUGCUCAACACGAGGAACAGGUAUUCCUCACGCCUACUCAAGUAAGGAGCCAAGGACCUCGUCUGUCAUGUGUUCCAGUCGAUAAUAUGGCUUCGCAAGUAACAUUACCACGGGACUUGCAUGGUGCAGUUGACUUCAGCAAAUAUCCGUUUCGAGCGUAUGUAAGUGAUCUUCAUGGUAAAAUGGUGGGAGUUAGUCUGUUUGGCACUGUAAGAAGUGUUUGCAAAGUAAGCACAUCUGGCACUACAUUCUAUUUGGAGAUAGAAGACGCAACAGGAGUUGUUCUGACGAAGCUUAUCUUUACUGGACACUGGUCAUUAGGUAGAGUUGGAGUUGGUCAUAUGGUGUAUAUCUCUGGUCUGACUUGUAGUUUGAAUAAAAUAAACAUCCUUGAAGUCUCGUGGAGCGAAAAGGAGCCAGGAUCACUGUUUGUUAACUUGAGCUUACUGCCAGCGUUGUUGAAUUCAACAUGCCUGCAUAAUAUAUCACUCUUGUCAGAUCUGCCCCAUUCAGCAAACAGAACACAUAUAUGCCGUGUUCGACUUGACCACAUCGAUUGCGACAGUUUAAAGUUGUCGUUAUUCCACAAUCUCUGUGGUUAUGUUGUGGAUGAACUGCCAGAUGGGCUUCAGUGUUCCUUGUGUAAAGUGGCCUGCCAGAAUGGAUGCACGCCUGGCUUUCAGUUGCACUUGACCAUUGCAGACGACAGCGAGAAGGUCUUUGCAUGGUGUGUUGGUCAAACGGCUGUAGAGUUCCUUCAGAUAUCUCCUGAUGAAUACAUGGAACUCCCUGAGGACGAACAGGCGAUGUAUCUCUUCACCCUCCAGAACGAGAGCUUCACGGUCGCCAUCGCCAACACCAGCAAGCGGGUCGAUGGGUACGCCGAGAACGCCGAGGCCCUCCCUGUGUGGGAGAUCACAAGAGCCCAGAGAUGCGAAUGA